CGCUGCGUACCGAGCACGCGAGACCCGAUUGCUUUUAAAUAGCGAUGCAUAUUAUAUGCGAGGAAGGUCCACGCUCGCCGACCGAUAAAUUAUAGCCUUCUAUAUGCUUGCAUGCUAAACGCAAGUGAACAUUUUUCCGGUAUCGAGCUUGCGUGAAACUUUCUUCACGAAUAAUUCAUCGUGACCAUGGUACGGCAGUACUUCGCUAACUUGCUACGGGUCACGACCUUAUCUGGCCAAUUAUCAAAACAGCUAAAUUUCUAGAGAAUCCUGAGUAUCUCUAUUCUUCAUCAAACGAAGGAGGAAACGGUGCAGAAGAAGCGGCCGAGAGGAGGUGGUGGUGUUAUACACAGGAGGAGAAGGAGAAGGAGGAGGAAGAGGGAAAAAGAGAAACAGGCAUGGAGGGUCGCGGAGCACGUGAAAGGCGAUUUAAAGGGAAAAAGAAGGAGGUGGCCUUUAAAAAAAACAACGAAGGAACAUGGCGAACCGGUCGCAGCCUCCAUUCGUCAGCUGGGAGCUCAGCUGCAGCCGGGCGCGGUGACCUCGACGGAGCUUCACGGAAAACCGAGUCAAUUUGCAAGCAAUAACGGUGUCAUACCGCGCGUACUUUUCAUCGGUGAUUUAACGAGCUUUUGUAUCUUUCACGCAUACGAAAAUACUAUUACACAUUCGUGUUUCUCCACUUUCUUCUUUCUCUCAACAUUUUUUUUCUUUUGUUUUUGUUUUCUUUUUUUUGUUAUUAAAUUUGUUAUUUUUGGACAGUACAUAUACAUAUAUCGAUAGAUCGGCGAGGUACUUUCGAUCGAGUGAUCCGCCGACAUUCCGCGGAAACACGGUCAUCGGUCGCUUUACAGGUGAUCGACAGUACCCCCGACCGACUGACAGUUCAACGACAUUCGUCUUUACCACUGUACGGAAAAACGCGUUUCCCUUUGCAUACUUUGUGUAAACGCUCCUAUCGAUAUCGAUCUCGACUUCAACGAAUCGCGAAAUCAUUCAAGUUUCCCGAAACGAUCCACGUAACUUAAUUAAUCGGAUAUUCAAUUCGGCUAUGUUUAACAAAGCUUUUAUCCAUCACUCCCGAUUUUGAUCUACACUUAAAAGAGAUAUAUAGAAACAAGUAUGAUUUUAUCCUUAACUAAACACGUCCAUGAUAUAAACAGUUAAGAAUUUUCAGUUCACUCACAAUUUGUGUAACGAACAUAAGAUCCACUAACGUGUCUGUUUACUAAGCGUCGUAAGUCGUUCAUCACAUUCAAUCUUAAUAUACACUUGAAAAAAAAAAAUGUACAGAAACAUA
This 1300-nucleotide unclassified non-coding RNA is filed under the name Bombus terrestris (buff-tailed bumblebee). RNAcentral's name for it is "misc RNA ENSBTSG00005034197.1". Lineage: Eukaryota; Metazoa; Arthropoda; Insecta; Hymenoptera; Apidae. The record is from RNAcentral.